Molecule: ribosomal RNA, 477 nt
Filed under: Lactiplantibacillus plantarum
Lineage: Bacteria; Bacillati; Bacillota; Bacilli; Lactobacillales; Lactobacillaceae
Description: bacterial SSU rRNA
Rfam family: Bacterial small subunit ribosomal RNA
Source: RNAcentral
UACGCGAAGAACCUUACCAGGUCUUGACAUACUAUGCAAAUCUAAGAGAUUAGACGUUCCCUUCGGGGACAUGGAUACAGGUGGUGCAUGGUUGUCGUCAGCUCGUGUCGUGAGAUGUUGGGUUAAGUCCCGCAACGAGCGCAACCCUUAUUAUCAGUUGCCAGCAUUAAGUUGGGCACUCUGGUGAGACUGCCGGUGACAAACCGGAGGAAGGUGGGGAUGACGUCAAAUCAUCAUGCCCCUUAUGACCUGGGCUACACACGUGCUACAAUGGAUGGUACAACGAGUUGCGAACUCGCGAGAGUAAGCUAAUCUCUUAAAGCCAUUCUCAGUUCGGAUUGUAGGCUGCAACUCGCCUACAUGAAGUCGGAAUCGCUAGUAAUCGCGGAUCAGCAUGCCGCGGUGAAUACGUUCCCGGGCCUUGUACACACCGCCCGUCACACCAUGAGAGUUUGUAACACCCAAAGUCGGUGGGGU